ACCUCGAGCUUCUCGGUUCCUUUGCGCGAUUUAGACCCUUCUUGUGAAUUUCUGACCCGCGAUCAAUCCCGAAUAUUUUUCCGCUCCCAUUCUGAUUCUCUUAAUAUUUUUAAUAAACUACAGAUGAUGUUUGAUAUCCUUUAAAAAUAUUUCCCGAGCCUCCGGCUUCCUCAAAGAAUUUCGUAAUACCAAAAUUAGGGUUUU
RNAcentral lists this long non-coding RNA (204 nucleotides) under Brassica napus (rape). RNAcentral describes it as "long non-coding RNA (BNAP_LNC006212)". The record is from RNAcentral. Lineage: Eukaryota; Viridiplantae; Streptophyta; Magnoliopsida; Brassicales; Brassicaceae.